Molecule: ribosomal RNA, 926 nt
Filed under: uncultured bacterium
Lineage: Bacteria
Description: bacterial SSU rRNA
Rfam family: Bacterial small subunit ribosomal RNA
Source: RNAcentral
ACGCUAGCUACAGGCUUAACACAUGCAAGUCGAGGGGCAGCGGGUUGAAAGCUUGCUUUCAAUGCCGGCGACCGGCGCACGGGUGCGUAACGCGUAUCAAACCUGCCUCAUACUCGGGGAUAGCCUUGCGAAAGUAAGAUUAAUACCCGAUGUUGUUGCUUUCUCGCAUGGGAGAGUAACCAAAGAUUUAUCGGUAUGAGAUGGUGAUGCGUCCGAUUAGGUAGUAGGCGGGGUAACGGCCCACCUAGCCUUCGAUCGGUAGGGGUUCUGAGAGGAAGGUCCCCCACACUGGAACUGAGACACGGUCCAGACUCCUACGGGAGGCAGCAGUGAGGAAUAUUGGUCAAUGGGCGAGAGCCUGAGCCAGCCAAGUAGCGUGCAGGAUGACGGCCCUCCGGGUUGUAAACUGCUUUUAGUUGGGAAUAAAAAAAGGGACUUGUCCCUUCUUGUAUGUACCUUCAGAAAAAGGACCGGCUAAUUCCGUGCCAGCAGCCGCGGUAAUACGGAAGGUCCAGGCGUUAUCCGGAUUUAUUGGGUUUAAAGGGAGCGUAGGCGGAGUGUUAAGUCAGCGGUUAAAGGGUGUGGCUCAACCAUGCAUUGCCGUUGAAACUGGCGAUCUUGAGUGCAGACAGGGAUGCCGGAAUUCGUGGUGUAGCGGUGAAAUGCUUAGAUAUCACGAAGAACUCCGAUCGCGAAGGCAGGUGUCCGGGCUGCAACUGACGCUGAGGCUCGAAAGUGUGGGUAUCAAACAGGAUUAGAUACCCUGGUAGUCCACACAGUAAACGAUGUAUACUCGCGGUUUGCGAUAGAUUGUAAGCCGCCAAGCGAAAGCAUUAAGUAUACCACCUGGGGAGUACGCCGGCAACGGUGAAACUCAAAGGAAUUGACGGGGGCCCGCACAAGCGGAGGAACAUGUGGUUUAAUUC